RNAcentral lists this unclassified non-coding RNA (516 nucleotides) under Hevea brasiliensis (rubber tree). The record is from RNAcentral. Lineage: Eukaryota; Viridiplantae; Streptophyta; Magnoliopsida; Malpighiales; Euphorbiaceae.
UUCAAGCCUAUCGACUUCAGCCGGCCGGGGAGAGAGGACAAUUUCUUCGAGCUGUUUGGAGAGGUUGGAUUCGAUUUCAGAGAGUUUGAGUCUGGCAGUGUCAACGGUCUCGUGGUCAGGACGAGGGCCGAGGGUUUGAAGGACGGAUCGGGUCUGGACCACGUCGGAGAUGGCGCGAGUCAUGGAAGCAAUGACUUUGGGGUCCGUUAAGUGGGGUAAUUGGGAGACGAUGGGUAUUUGACUGGAAGAGGGGUCGGACGAAGUGCGAGGCGGCGGCUGCUCGACGUCGAAGGAGGUGUCGGAAGAUUUGGGUCCGAAAGAAGGAAGGCGGGCCAUGACAUAAGAGAGGAUUGGGAAGGAGUUAGGGUUGGGAUCCAUAAUGGUAAUGAGGUAGAAGAAAUUUGCAGAAAGAAAGAGAGGUUGUUGAAUGAACCGAUGGAGCCUUGUCACUUUGUUUAAGCUCUGCGCCACUCUCCUUCUGUCUCCUCUAUGGUGAGGGGAAAUGUGACGACCAAA